GGGUUGUGAGGUUAAGCGACUAAGCGUACACGGUGGAUGCCCUGGCAGUCAGAGGCGAUGAAGGACGUGCUAAUCUGCGAUAAGCGUCGGUAAGGUGAUAUGAACCGUUAUAACCGGCGAUUUCCGAAUGGGGAAACCCAGUGUGAUUCGUCACACUAUCAUUAACUGAAUCCAUAGGUUAAUGAGGCGAACCGGGGGAACUGAAACAUCUAAGUACCCCGAGGAAAAGAAAUCAACCGAGAUUCCCCCAGUAGCGGCGAGCGAACGGGGAGCAGCCCAGAGCCUGAAUCAGUGUGUGUGUUAGUGGAAGCGUCUGGAAAGGCGCGCGAUACAGGGUGACAGCCCCGUACACAAAAAUGCACAUGCUGUGAGCUCGAUGAGUAGGGCGGGACACGUGGUAUCCUGUCUGAAUAUGGGGGGACCAUCCUCCAAGGCUAAAUACUCCUGACUGACCGAUAGUGAACCAGUACCGUGAGGGAAAGGCGAAAAGAACCCCGGCGAGGGGAGUGAAAAAGAACCUGAAACCGUGUACGUACAAGCAGUGGGAGCACGCUUAGGCGUGUGACUGCGUACCUUUUGUAUAAUGGGUCAGCGACUUAUAUUCUGUAGCAAGGUUAACCGAAUAGGGGAGCCGAAGGGAAACCGAGUCUUAACUGGGCGUUAAGUUGCAGGGUAUAGACCCGAAACCCGGUGAUCUAGCCAUGGGCAGGUUGAAGGUUGGGUAACACUAACUGGAGGACCGAACCGACUAAUGUUGAAAAAUUAGCGGAUGACUUGUGGCUGGGGGUGAAAGGCCAAUCAAACCGGGAGAUAGCUGGUUCUCCCCGAAAGCUAUUUAGGUAGCGCCUCGUGAAUUCAUCUCCGGGGGUAGAGCACUGUUUCGGCAAGGGGGUCAUCCCGACUUACCAACCCGAUGCAAACUACGAAUACCGGAGAAUGUUAUCACGGGAGACACACGGCGGGUGCUAACGUCCGUCGUGAAGAGGGAAACAACCCAGACCGCCAGCUAAGGUCCCAAAGUCAUGGUUAAGUGGGAAACGAUGUGGGAAGGCCCAGACAGCCAGGAUGUUGGCUUAGAAGCAGCCAUCAUUUAAAGAAAGCGUAAUAGCUCACUGGUCGAGUCGGCCUGCGCGGAAGAUGUAACGGGGCUAAACCAUGCACCGAAGCUGCGGCAGCGACGCUUAUGCGUUGUUGGGUAGGGGAGCGUUCUGUAAGCCUGCGAAGGUGUGCUGUGAGGCAUGCUGGAGGUAUCAGAAGUGCGAAUGCUGACAUAAGUAACGAUAAAGCGGGUGAAAAGCCCGCUCGCCGGAAGACCAAGGGUUCCUGUCCAACGUUAAUCGGGGCAGGGUGAGUCGACCCCUAAGGCGAGGCCGAAAGGCGUAGUCGAUGGGAAACAGGUUAAUAUUCCUGUACUUGGUGUUACUGCGAAGGGGGGACGGAGAAGGCUAUGUUGGCCGGGCGACGGUUGUCCCGGUUUAAGCGUGUAGGCUGGUUUUCCAGGCAAAUCCGGAAAAUCAAGGCUGAGGCGUGAUGACGAGGCACUACGGUGCUGAAGCAACAAAUGCCCUGCUUCCAGGAAAAGCCUCUAAGCAUCAGGUAACAUCAAAUCGUACCCCAAACCGACACAGGUGGUCAGGUAGAGAAUACCAAGGCGCUUGAGAGAACUCGGGUGAAGGAACUAGGCAAAAUGGUGCCGUAACUUCGGGAGAAGGCACGCUGAUAUGUAGGUGAAGUCCCUCGCGGAUGGAGCUGAAAUCAGUCGAAGAUACCAGCUGGCUGCAACUGUUUAUUAAAAACACAGCACUGUGCAAACACGAAAGUGGACGUAUACGGUGUGACGCCUGCCCGGUGCCGGAAGGUUAAUUGAUGGGGUUAGCGCAAGCGAAGCUCUUGAUCGAAGCCCCGGUAAACGGCGGCCGUAACUAUAACGGUCCUAAGGUAGCGAAAUUCCUUGUCGGGUAAGUUCCGACCUGCACGAAUGGCGUAAUGAUGGCCAGGCUGUCUCCACCCGAGACUCAGUGAAAUUGAACUCGCUGUGAAGAUGCAGUGUACCCGCGGCAAGACGGAAAGACCCCGUGAACCUUUACUAUAGCUUGACACUGAACAUUGAGCCUUGAUGUGUAGGAUAGGUGGGAGGCUUUGAAGUGUGGACGCCAGUCUGCAUGGAGCCGACCUUGAAAUACCACCCUUUAAUGUUUGAUGUUCUAACGUUGACCCGUAAUCCGGGUUGCGGACAGUGUCUGGUGGGUAGUUUGACUGGGGCGGUCUCCUCCUAAAGAGUAACGGAGGAGCACGAAGGUUGGCUAAUCCUGGUCGGACAUCAGGAGGUUAGUGCAAUGGCAUAAGCCAGCUUGACUGCGAGCGUGACGGCGCGAGCAGGUGCGAAAGCAGGUCAUAGUGAUCCGGUGGUUCUGAAUGGAAGGGCCAUCGCUCAACGGAUAAAAGGUACUCCGGGGAUAACAGGCUGAUACCGCCCAAGAGUUCAUAUCGACGGCGGUGUUUGGCACCUCGAUGUCGGCUCAUCACAUCCUGGGGCUGAAGUAGGUCCCAAGGGUAUGGCUGUUCGCCAUUUAAAGUGGUACGCGAGCUGGGUUUAGAACGUCGUGAGACAGUUCGGUCCCUAUCUGCCGUGGGCGCUGGAGAAUUGAGGGGGGCUGCUCCUAGUACGAGAGGACCGGAGUGGACGCAUCACUGGUGUUCGGGUUGUCAUGCCAAUGGCACUGCCCGGUAGCUAAAUGCGGAAGAGAUAAGUGCUGAAAGCAUCUAAGCACGAAACUUGCCCCGAGAUGAGUUCUCCCUGACUCCUUGAGAGUCCUGAAGGAACGUUGAAGACGACGACGUUGAUAGGCCGGGUGUGUAAGCGCAGCGAUGCGUUGAGCUAACCGGUACUAAUGAACCGUGAGGCUUAACCUUACAACGCCGAAG
This 2925-nucleotide ribosomal RNA is filed under the name Escherichia coli. RNAcentral describes it as "23S ribosomal RNA". It matches the Rfam family "Bacterial large subunit ribosomal RNA". Lineage: Bacteria; Pseudomonadati; Pseudomonadota; Gammaproteobacteria; Enterobacterales; Enterobacteriaceae. The record is from RNAcentral. RNAcentral also lists the same sequence under 1 other name.